RNAcentral lists this long non-coding RNA (2960 nucleotides) under Lactuca sativa (garden lettuce). Its description in RNAcentral is "long non-coding RNA (LSAT_LNC003223)". Lineage: Eukaryota; Viridiplantae; Streptophyta; Magnoliopsida; Asterales; Asteraceae. The record is from RNAcentral.
CCACAAGUAAAAUGGGGUAGGGGGCUUUGUUUGUUUAAACUUGUAUAAAAAUCAAUGUCAAACGUAAUUACUGUACAGAAUCUAAGUAAUGGAAAGCAUAAAAGUUUAAUGGUGAGGGAAUUUGAUUGAAAUGCCAGAUGUGAAGAUAAAUUUAAUUGGCCAACUAGUACUACAUUUACAGAAAGGUUGAUCUUGGGUAGAAACAGUAAUCAGACUAGUUAAAUAUCUACAAGUGUAAGUAGUGUAUGUGUGCUCUAUUACAAACUAUGAUGAAUAUUGUUGGGUGGUGGUUCAAUUCAAUAUAUUGAAUAUAUAGGUUGGUUGAACUUAUUAAUAGGUGGUAGAGACUAAAGAAAUGGCCUUAAAGCCAGGUAUCUCAUGGCUCAUGCAUGCUUCAGGGAAUUAGGAUUUAGAAUGAACACCGAAAGUUAUCACCACACCUGAAAUUUAAAAUCAAACCAAAUGGGUUAAAUAUCUAACUUCUCUCAGGAAUCCUCUAAAUGAAAAGGACACACAUCAUGUACACUGUUGAAUAGUAACUGUUUUAAUCAUUUGCAACUAACUACCUAUAUAUUGUUUUUUGUGGUAUGUGAUUAUGCAUCUCAACCAUUCCAUUACAUUGAAUUCUUGGUUGCAACUGAAAAUUUUCCUGCAGUGAACAUGGUUUAGAGGACGUAAAGAGCUUCUAUAUAUAGACCUGACCACACCAAAUAAGGUCAGCAAGAUGAUGUAAAUUGGUUCACUCAGCUCUCCAGUAGAAUAGCUGAAUUAGCAAGCCAAGCCAAGCCAAGCAAAGCAUUCAUUGAAAUGCAACUCUUUAAUUGUAAAGGCAGGCUUGCUUGUUGAAGAGUAAGUGCAAACACAGCUAGCUGAGAAAGGUGAUCUUUUUUUGUCUGCUGCUACUUGUAUGAGAUUUAAAUAAAAGGAAACAACAAUUAUCGAAUCAAAUAUAAAAAAAAGUGUGGAAUCUGGAAUGUCACCUCCUCUAUGGUCUGGUUGGAUUAAUGGCUCAUGUUAGUUUUGACUUUGAGAAGUGUUCUCUUUGGAUUAGUGAAAUCUGCUUCAUAAAAACAUUAUCAAGUAUGAACACACAAAAAAAAAAGGUCCGAUGGUUGUGACACUCCGUUAAUCUAAACAAACAUUCAUGUGCAUAAUCUGAAAAAAAAAAACUGUGCACUUGUUGAUAGACGAAAUUGCUGGAUUGUUGAUAAGGUCGAUCUGGGACAUGUUGGGGCUAAUUCACCCGGUUAAUUGCAAGGUCGUUAAGAUAACAUAACCUCCUGUUACAAUUUACAAAUAACAAAUCAAAUUUGAAGUGAUAUUCCCAUAAUAUUAAGAGUCGGCCUUAUUUAAUACCGUAGAAUCUUAUAUUAACUAAUACUAAUUGUUAGUUUCUUUCUCAGCUUCCAGAGAUAACUAUUGUUACAAAUUUCUUUUUAGUUUUCUCCAAAUCUUUUGGGAAGAUCUGAAGCUAAAAACUAAUUUACUUCUGGCCAUCAAAUAAAUUAUUAUCUUAACAUGAAAGGACGAAGUUUGGUAUGCAAAAUAUAUCAUUAAAAGUUAGCAUAAACGUCAGAUCUCACUUUUCAUAUAUAUUUUUUAAUGUUUAUGGUAGUUUAAUUUAGAACAUAUCUUGCCAUUUAAAAACUAAGCAGAUAUUUAUUUAGACUUACAUUAGCCAGAUUGGUGUAGAGAUUCAGAUUCAGAUUCAGAUGGGGCUGGAGGUCUGAACGGCCUUGCAACUAACCAGAUGAAUUCGCCCCAACAUGUCACACUCCCUCUUUUAGUCCUUCUGCAAAUCAGAUCUGUAGGGAAAUUUAUGGCAACAUAAUAAUAAUCCAAUGAAAGAAAAAGAAUAGGGUUCCUAGAGCAAUCAGUUUUCAAUUCAAGUUUAAAUUAUGGAGAGUCUAUCCUUUUUGUAUGCGAGUGGGUUUGGGUUUUGGUUUUUGGGAAAUGGGACGAUAUAGUUGAAUACCUUUAUAGAGCAAUCAGUUUUCAAUUCAAGUCAAGUGCUUCAGGAUGAAGUUAUUGAUGGACAAACCAGUUGGCGAUUACACUGUAUCGACAUUAGUGCAAAGUGCUGUACUAUAUUUCCCAUUGGGUAAUGUUACUCUAUUCCUUCCUCCCAUUGGGUAACACAAUUACAUAAGCGGUUGUAUUUAGUUUCUUUUUUUCUUUUUUCUUUAUUAACAGCAAUUUAAUGUGUUUGUGCUAAUAUUUGCUUUAAUUUUUUGCUUUUUUACUCUACUUUAUUUCAUAGCUAGUACGUUAAGGGAGUUUGAAAUUGCUUAUGUUAAGGUCUUAAAUGUGCUUAGUAGAUUAUUAUUAAAGUUUAUUAUCCUUAAUAGGAUAAAUUACUGAAAUUAUCUUUGUGGUUUUGACCAAAAUUGUUUGUUUAAUCACAAUUUUUUUUAUUUGGACCGUCUGUUUGAUAUGAUUUUAAUAAAUAUAUGGAUCCUAUCACCUCACACUCCUUGCUUCCCCUUCACCUCUGUCAACCUCAUUCAACAACCAUUGUUCAUCUCCGAGACUAUUCACCUCCAAUAAUUUGUAUGUCCUUCCAACCAAAUAAAUUGAAAUUGAACCAAAAUAAAAAACAAACCCCAUGUAAUCACAAUCAAAACAAAACCUAACCAAAGCAAAAUAAAAAAACAAACUUGUAACCAAAAUCAAAAUCAUACCGGAAAUUGGUUGAAUGGAGAUGUCGGAGGUUCUAAAAAUCGUAAAUAGUUCUAGUAAUCAAAAUAGGUUCAUAAAUUGAAUGUGUGUGUGUCCCCCUCCAUAAAAAUAGUUCUAGCAAUCGAAUAGGUUAGUCUCCUCUAGAAAGUGGCUCUAAAGGUCAUGAUUUCUAGAAAAGACGUCGGGAUCUAAUGUUGAACACAAUGAUUUCUAGGGCCACUCAUCGGUCUUGAAUAUGCCUAUUAUUAUGGUCGGACCUUGGACCUGCACCAUGUUUCGAC